This 556-nucleotide ribosomal RNA is filed under the name uncultured bacterium. RNAcentral describes it as "bacterial SSU rRNA". It matches the Rfam family "Bacterial small subunit ribosomal RNA", at positions 112 to 704 of the family's 1533-position model. The record is from RNAcentral.
AACACGUGGGAACGUGCCUUUAGGUUCGGAAUAGCUCCUGGAAACGGGUGGUAAUGCCGAAUGUGCCCUUCGGGGGAAAGAUUUAUCGCCUUUAGAGCGGCCCGCGUCUGAUUAGCUAGUUGGUGGGGUAAUGGCCCACCAAGGCUACGAUCAGUAGCUGGUCUGAGAGGAUGACCAGCCACAUUGGGACUGAGACACGGCCCAAACUCCUACGGGAGGCAGCAGUGGGGAAUAUUGGACAAUGGGCGCAAGCCUGAUCCAGCCACGCCGCGUGAGUGACGAAGGUCUUCGGAUUGUAAAGCUCUUUUGCCAGGGACGAUAAUGACGGUACCUGGAGAAUAAGCACCGGCUAACUCCGUGCCAGCAGCCGCGGUAAUACGGAGGGUGCAAGCGUUAUCCGGAUUCACUGGGUUUAAAGGGUGCGUAGGCGGGCAGGUAAGUCAGUGGUGAAAUCCUGGAGCUUAACUCCAGAACUGCCAUUGAUACUAUCUGUCUUGAAUAUUGUGGAGGUAAGCGGAAUAUGUCAUGUAGCGGUGAAAUGCUAGAUAUGACAUAG